UGGGGAAUAUUGCACAAUGGGCGCAAGCCUGAUGCAGCAACGCCGCGUGAGGGAUGACGGCCUUCGGGUUGUAAACCUCUUUUAGCAGGGAAGAAGCGAAAGUGACGGUACCUGCAGAAAAAGCACCGGCUAACUACAUGCCAGCAGCCGCGGUAAUACGUAGGGUGCAAGCGUUGUCCGGAAUUAUUGGGCGUAAAGAGCUCGUAGGCGGUCUGUCGCGUCUGCUGUGAAAUCCCGAGGCUCAACCUCGGGCCUGCAGUGGGUACGGGCAGACUAGAGUGCGGUAGGGGAGAAUGGAACUCCUGGUGUAGCGGUGGAAUGCGCAGAUAUCAGGAAGAACACCGAUGGCGAAGGCAGUUCUCUGGGCCGUAACUGACGCUGAGGAGCGAAAGCGUGGGGAGCGAACAGGAUUAGAUACCCUGGUAGUCCACGCCGUAAACGUUGGGCGCUAGAUGUGGGGACCAUUCCACGGUUUCCGUGUCGCAGCUAACGCAUUAAGCGCCCCGCCUGGGGAGUACGGCCGCAAGGCUAAAAC
This 535-nucleotide ribosomal RNA is filed under the name uncultured bacterium. Its description in RNAcentral is "partial 16S ribosomal RNA". It matches the Rfam family "Bacterial small subunit ribosomal RNA", at positions 355 to 900 of the family's 1533-position model. The record is from RNAcentral.